UGCGUAGGUGGCUUGAAAAGUUUGAUGUGAAAGCUCAGGGCUUAACCCUGAAAUGGCAUUGAAUACUGUCGGGCUGGAGGUUUGGAGGGGGGACUGGAAUUCUUGGUGUAGCAGUGAAAUGCGUAGAUAUCAAGAGGAACACCAGUGGCGAAGGCGAGUCCCUGGACAACACCUGACACUGAGGCACGAAAGCUAGGGAGGCAAACA
This 207-nucleotide ribosomal RNA is filed under the name uncultured bacterium. RNAcentral's name for it is "partial 16S ribosomal RNA". It matches the Rfam family "Bacterial small subunit ribosomal RNA", at positions 568 to 774 of the family's 1533-position model. The record is from RNAcentral.